UCGGGAAUGGUCUAAUGGCAGGACGUCGGGUUCUGGCCCCGUUAGUCUAGGUUCGAAUCCUAGUUCCCGAA
RNAcentral lists this transfer RNA (71 nucleotides) under Pseudomonadota bacterium. RNAcentral's name for it is "Proteobacteria bacterium tRNA-Gln". It matches the Rfam family "tRNA". Rfam says of the family: Transfer RNA (tRNA) molecules are approximately 80 nucleotides in length. Their secondary structure includes four short double-helical elements and three loops (D, anti-codon, and T loops). RNAcentral also lists the same sequence under 1 other name. Lineage: Bacteria; Pseudomonadati; Pseudomonadota. The record is from RNAcentral.